UCCGUUUGCGGCUCCAUUCUUGAGCUCUGUGUUGUGGCUAAGAAUGACUAACUUCAGGGUUUCAUUCAGUGGAAAAGAGUUUACACUCUUCCAGUGGCUUCUACAAAAGUUCCCAAGAUUCACUCUGAUUCGACUGGCUUAGGAUGUGUGCCUGUCCUUUAACAAUCAUUAUAGUCAGGUGGGGGACUGAGAACGGGCUCCACUCCUGGAGAAUGAAGACAGGACAGAUCCUCAAACAAAGAUCAGAGGUCUUACUAAACCAAGGGGAACAUAUGCUGAGUAUUCAAGCCACAGAUGGAUGUCCAGCACAGGUCAAAAUGGGUUGUAAAGCAGCAGAGACAACUCGCAACAUCAACAACGCAUUUGGCCCAGGAACUGCUGAUGAACGUACAGUGCAGUGGUUCAAGAAGUUUUGCAAAGGAGAUGAGAGCCUUGAAGAUGAGGAGCACAGUGGCCGGCCAUCUGAAAUUGACAACCAACUGAGAGCAUCAUCAAAGCUGAUCCUCUUAGAACGUGAGAAGUCGCCAAAUGACUCAAUAUUGACCAUUUUACCGUCAUUUGGAAUUUGAAGCAAACUGGAAAGGUGAAAAAGUUCAAUAAGUGGGUACUUGUGAGCUGACCACAAAUCAAAAAAAUCAUUGUUCUGAAGUAUCAUCUUCUCUCAUUCUGCACAACAAUGAAACAUUUCUUGAUGGGAUUAUGAAGUCUGAUGAGAAGUGGACUGUAUACAACAACUGGCAACUGCCAGCUCAGUGGCUGGACCAAGAUGACACUCCAAAGCACUUCCCAAAGCCGAAGUUGCACCAAAAAAAGGUCAAGGUCACUGUUUGGUGGUCCGCUGCCAGUCUGAUCCACUACAGCAUUCUGAACCCCAGUGAAACCAUUAUAUUUGAGACAUAUGCUCAAAAAAUUAAUCAGAUAUACCAAAAACUGCAAUGCCUGCAGCUGCUAUUGGUCAACAGAAAGGGCCCAAUUCUUCUCCAUGACCACGCAUGGCUGCAGGUACACAACCAACACUUCAAAAGUUGAAACAACUGGGCUACAAAGUUUUGCUUCAUCCACUAUAUUCACCUGACCUCCUGCCAACCAACUACCACUUCUUCAAGCAUCUCAACACCUUUCUGCAGGAAAAAAGCUUCCCCAACCUGUAGGAUGCAGACAAUGCUUUCCAAAAGUUCAUCGAAUCCCAAAGCACAGAUUUUUACAUUACAGGAAUAAACUUAUUUCUCAUUGGCAAAAAUUGUAAUAGUUCCUAUUUUGAUUAAUAAAGGUGUAUAUGAGCCUA
Molecule: long non-coding RNA, 1285 nt
Organism: Bubalus bubalis (water buffalo)
Lineage: Eukaryota; Metazoa; Chordata; Mammalia; Artiodactyla; Bovidae
Exons: 2
Source: RefSeq, a predicted model, not a curated record